RNAcentral lists this long non-coding RNA (321 nucleotides) under Callithrix jacchus (white-tufted-ear marmoset). RNAcentral's name for it is "lncRNA (ENSCJAG00000082264.1)". Lineage: Eukaryota; Metazoa; Chordata; Mammalia; Primates; Cebidae. The record is from RNAcentral.
GGACAGUGCAAGAGCUGAGCAGAGAUGGCAGUCUGGCUGCAUGGUUUUUAACGGUGUGCUUUAUAAAAGCUACUUGCUUCUCCUUUGCCUUCCACCAUGAUUGUAAGUUUCCUGAGGCCUCCCCAGCCAUGCAGAGCAGAACUAUAAAAAAUUUCCAUUGGCAUUUGCUUCAUGGAAUUGGUUUACCUUCACAGCAUUGAGAGCACCCAGAUGACAUCACCUCUGAAGGGAAGAAUAAUUACAGUAAAUGGCUGAUCAAGAAUUCCCUGAGCCUCAGAAAGUGUGGGUUACCCCAUGCACAGAUCCAAUGGGGAACUUCCC